AGCGAACGCUGGCGGCAUGCCUAACACAUGCAAGUCGAACGAGACCUUCGGGUCUAGUGGCGCACGGGUGCGUAACGCGUGGGAACCUGCCCUUAGGUUCGGAAUAACUCCCCGAAAGGGGUGCUGAUACCGGAUAAUGUCUUCGGACCAAAGAUUUAUCGCCUUUGGAUGGGCCCGCGUUGGAUUAGCUAGUUGUUAGGGUAAAAGCCUACCAAGGCGACGAUCCAUAGCUGGUCUGAGAGGAUGAUCAGCCACACUGGGACUGAGACACGGCCCAGACUCCUACGGGAGGCAGCAGUGGGGAAUAUUGGACAAUGGGCGAAAGCCUGAUCCAGCAAUGCCGCGUGAGUGAUGAAGGCCUUAGGGUUGUAAAGCUCGUUUACCCGGGAUGAUAAUGACAGUACCGGGAGAAUAAGCUCCGGCUAACUCCGUG
RNAcentral lists this ribosomal RNA (433 nucleotides) under uncultured bacterium. Its description in RNAcentral is "partial 16S ribosomal RNA". It matches the Rfam family "Bacterial small subunit ribosomal RNA", at positions 29 to 507 of the family's 1533-position model. The record is from RNAcentral.